This 994-nucleotide ribosomal RNA is filed under the name Centipeda noxia ATCC 43541. RNAcentral's name for it is "Selenomonas noxia ATCC 43541 partial 16S ribosomal RNA". Lineage: Bacteria; Bacillati; Bacillota; Negativicutes; Selenomonadales; Selenomonadaceae. The record is from RNAcentral.
UCUCUUUGUCACGGCUCAGAGCCGAGAUGUCCUGCGUGGGAUUCUUCCUGAUGUCGAUGGUAUUCUAUUUAUCAAUCGGCCACAGACCAUUAAAGAGACAUUUAAAUAUUGUCGUAUGCCCCAUUUCAGAACACUCCGUUUCCACAUUAUCAAUUACAAAAUUCGCAGUAGCUUUAUCUAUUUGAAUAUACCCUUGAGAUGAAAAAAACUCUUCCAAUUCUGCUAUCCGUUCUUGUUCUUCACAACCAUGUAAUUCGUCAAAAGAAAAAAUAGCUUUUUCAUUCUUUUUUUCUGUUUUAUUUAUGGUAAAAAAAUAAUAUUUUCCAAUGAUACUAAUGUAUAGGAACAAAUCUCGUCUUUCUCCAUUUAAUCUUUCUAAAAGACGGAUAUCGUCAUCCAGUAUAUCUUGAUUUUUAUGCAACAAAAUAUGAUAUUCAAUAUCUGGAUACUCCUCCAUGUAUGUCCAGUUAAUAACAGCAUACUGUGAAAAAAUUUUUUUCAAGUUUUUUUCAAUAAAAGCUAAAUAAUCCGCAUUCUCGGCCAUUUGUUGUUGUUUUUCCUUUAAUUUCUUAUACUCAUCAGAGGAUUGGUAUAAUGGAUCAUUAAACGGAAUUCCUGUAGGAUAAUAUUGAUGAAUUAGACAAACUAAAUCAUCUAUAAUGUUAUUACUUCCUGUUGUCAUUUUUAUCGAACCUCUUAUCUUUUAGUAGCUUCUUUGCAGUUCUAGCGGAAGCAUCUCCUUUUUUUUGCUGCGGCUUCUAUUUCUCAUAAGGGCUUCCCUAGCCAUUGCCCAGGGAAUACCUGACGAAUAGAGCCUUUUUUCUCCCUUUUUAUAAUUUCUUCUGGUGUUAAAUUACCAUUAUUAGAGAAAAAUAUAUUCUCUCUAGGGCUAUUUGCGGUACCUUCUUGACUCCAUUGCUCCUUAAAGUCCAACAAAGGAUUUGUACGGGGCUUGUAUUUAAUAUCUAGGAUAUUGGGAGAGAGAUCAAAAGGG